CUUAUUAAAUCAGCUAUGGUUCCUUAGAUGGUACGUACAGUUACUUGGAUAACUGUGGCAAUUCUAGAGCUAAUACAUGCAAACCGAGUUCCGACCGCUUAGCAGGCGGAAGGAAUGCUUUUAUUAGAUCAAAACCAAUCGAACUCUACUCGCAUGGGUUCGUUUAAGUCUUGGUGACUCUGAAUAACUUUGUGCUGAUCGCACGGUCCCGCACCGGCGACGCAUCUUUCAAAUGUCUGACUUAUCAACUUUCGAUGGUAAGCUCUGCGCCUACCAUGGUCGUAACGGGUAACGGGGAAUCAGGGUUCGAUUCCGGAGAGGGAGCCUGAGAAACGGCUACCACAUCCAAGGAAGGCAGCAGGCGCGCAAAUUACCCACUCCCGGCACGGGGAGGUAGUGACGAAAAAUAACGAUGCAGAACUCUUUCCGAGGCUCUGCAAUCGGAAUGAGAACACUCUAAAUCAUUUAACGAGUAUCCAUUGGAGGGCAAGUCUGG
RNAcentral lists this ribosomal RNA (496 nucleotides) under Damalinia meyeri sika. RNAcentral describes it as "SSU rRNA". It matches the Rfam family "Eukaryotic small subunit ribosomal RNA", at positions 97 to 564 of the family's 1831-position model. The record is from RNAcentral. Lineage: Eukaryota; Metazoa; Arthropoda; Insecta; Psocodea; Bovicoliidae.